Molecule: ribosomal RNA, 538 nt
Filed under: Bifidobacterium bifidum
Lineage: Bacteria; Bacillati; Actinomycetota; Actinomycetes; Bifidobacteriales; Bifidobacteriaceae
Description: bacterial SSU rRNA
Rfam family: Bacterial small subunit ribosomal RNA
Source: RNAcentral
GUGGUAAUGCCGGAUGUUCCACAUGAUCGCAUGUGAUUGUGGGAAAGAUUCUAUCGGCGUGGGAUGGGGUCGCGUCCUAUCAGCUUGUUGGUGAGGUAACGGCUCACCAAGGCUUCGACGGGUAGCCGGCCUGAGAGGGCGACCGGCCACAUUGGGACUGAGAUACGGCCCAGACUCCUACGGGAGGCAGCAGUGGGGAAUAUUGCACAAUGGGCGCAAGCCUGAUGCAGCGACGCCGCGUGAGGGAUGGAGGCCUUCGGGUUGUAAACCUCUUUUGUUUGGGAGCAAGCCUUCGGGUGAGUGUACCUUUCGAAUAAGCGCCGGCUAACUACGUGCCAGCAGCCGCGGUAAUACGUAGGGCGCAAGCGUUAUCCGGAUUUAUUGGGCGUAAAGGGCUCGUAGGCGGCUCGUCGCGUCCGGUGUGAAAGUCCAUCGCUUAACGGUGGAUCUGCGCCGGGUACGGGCGGGCUGGAGUGCGGUAGGGGAGACUGGAAUUCCCGGUGUAACGGUGGAAUGUGUAGAUAUCGGGAAGAACACC